UACGAAGGGGGCUAGCGUUGUUCGGAAUUACUGGGCGUAAAGCGUGCGCAGGCGGCUUCUCAAGUCAGGGGGUGAAAGCCCAGAGCUUAACUCUGGAAUUGCCUUUGAGACUGAGAGGCUUGAGUACGGGAGAGGUGAGUGGAAUUCCCAGUGUAGAGGUGAAAUUCGUAGAUAUUGGGAAGAACACCGGUGGCGAAGGCGGCUCACUGGCCCGUAACUGACGCUCAUGCACGACAGCGUGGGGAUCAAACAGG
Molecule: ribosomal RNA, 254 nt
Filed under: uncultured bacterium
Lineage: Bacteria
Description: partial 16S ribosomal RNA
Rfam family: Bacterial small subunit ribosomal RNA
Source: RNAcentral